ACGUAGGGGACAAGCGUUAUCCGGAUUUAUUGGGCGUAAAGCGUGCGUAGGCGGCAUAUUAAGUUUAAGAUAAAAGCCCGGGGCUUAACUCCGGUUCGUCUUAAAAACUGAUAAGCUUGAGUGUGGUAGAGGUAAAUGGAAUUUCUAGUGUAGCGGUGAAAUGCGUAGAUAUUAGAAGGAACACCAGUGGCGAAGGCGAUUUACUGGGCCACAACUGACGCUGAGGCACGAAAGCGUGGGUAGCAAAUAG
RNAcentral lists this ribosomal RNA (250 nucleotides) under uncultured bacterium. RNAcentral describes it as "partial 16S ribosomal RNA". It matches the Rfam family "Bacterial small subunit ribosomal RNA", at positions 525 to 775 of the family's 1533-position model. The record is from RNAcentral.